Molecule: long non-coding RNA, 1900 nt
Filed under: Nicotiana tabacum (common tobacco)
Lineage: Eukaryota; Viridiplantae; Streptophyta; Magnoliopsida; Solanales; Solanaceae
Description: long non-coding RNA (NTAB_LNC002014)
Source: RNAcentral
UAUGCGACAUCAAAUGGGACACGAUGCCGUCCUACUCAUAAGUCUGUAGCAAAACUUUGACACGAUGACUCAUAGACUCGGCUGCACUACGAAUGAGGUGGAGUCUUACCGAUCCUUCGUUGAAUGCCAAUCUCAUCUACUAUGAGGGAUCGUCAAACUGCUUGUCUAUACCUACGGGCAUAAAAUGCAGCAUCCCCAGGCAAAAGGGACGUCAGUACGAAUAAUGUACCGAGUAUGUAAGGCACAUAAAUAAGUACAUAACCGACAUGGAAGAAAUAUAGAGUAAAUGACUCAACCUGUAAGUCUAGAUAACUCUGUAAAUCAUGAAAUACUUAUAGUAUCAUGCAUAUGCAUAUGAAUAUCAUGUCGUGCAUAGGUACAUGUGUUCGUAACAUGAUCAAGCCUUUGAGGGCAUCCCAUCAUAUCGUCUCGGCCACUGUGGGCAAAAUCGUUAACGUAUACCAGCUGAUCAGGUGGUGGUGCGUAUAUAAUGCCAUAAUCUUUCCCGUAUCUCAUAUACAUAUACAUAUAUAUAUAUAUAUAUAUAGGACAAAAUCGUCAAUGUAUACCAGCUGAUCAGGUGGUGGUACGUAUAUAACGCCAUAACCUUUCCCGUAUCCCAUAUACAUAUGUAUACAUAUAUAUACGUGUAUAUAAUGCCAUCUAGUCAUGGGUCAGUAUAAAUGAAUGCAAUGCAUGAAAUGCAUAAGAAAUACGUUAAUACGAUUUUCGCGGAAUGCCAUUAAAAUCAAUAUACUUUUCGGAUAAACUUUAUCAAAUACGUAUUUUUCUGAGACUCAUGAAAAGAUAAUAGAAUAAUAUGACUUAUGGGAGAAUAAGGAUAUACGCAUCUCUAGCAUUUCUAAGAAUAGAGUAAUUUUUUGGAAGUUGUGCAUUUGCUCGUUUCGUUUGUGUUGUAUAGAUCAUGCCAAAAAGAAAGAAGGGAUGACCUUAACAUACCUGAGCCGAUUCUCUUGGCAAUCCCUCUAGCGCACGCCAAUUGCGACAACAUAUAAUCGCGGAUUGGAGUAGGAAAAAAUCCGUAUAAUAUUCUUGAGAAAGAUUGCAAAAGUAUUUCAUUGGACAUUGAUUGGAGGAUUAACAAUAAAGGGCAUUCUAAAAGUCUUAGCACUUUUUAACCCCGAUGGAUUUCGUAGUAGUGAAUCCUUUCUCACGAAGUAUUGGACAAUUACAUUUUUUUUUUCAUGAUGUAUUCAUGCUAGAGACAUAAACAGCUACUGAUAUAGAAAUCUUGUCAGAACACAAACUCUUAGAAGAAAUUUUGCCGAUGGGACAUAACUUUUAUAAAGAUUUUUUUUGUAUAAAUCACCAUAAAAACAAAGUUGGAAAUACACUUCUUAUACAACCAUGCAUUAACAUAGAGACAGACACACAUAGGAAUUAAAAAGCAGAUAGUUGAAGUAAAGUAGCUUCAUAAAUGAGAAAUAUUACAUCUUUUAAAAAGAUAACAAAAUAAUAAUAAUUGAGACAUUACACAAGGGAGAAGGCACACGCAACACAAACACUAUUUCAUACAUUAAUGGUAAAAUGGGACAGGAGAACAAUAAGAAAUAGUCUAUGGGUCCUAAGACACCAACAAAAUUCAUGGCCGUUCUAAUUUUUUUUCAAUAAUUUGUCCUUUUGCCAUGUCUUGAAAAAUAAAACUGUCCAAAAAAAAAAAAAACACCAGAAAGGAUUCAACAGAAACUACUCUUUAUAGCAUCUACUAGUGACAAUACCAUUCUCUGGCUUCACCUUUUAAGAGAUUCUAAACCAGGGUUAACCACCUUCUAUACAAAGAGUAGAUGUAAUUACUUAAAGUAGCUCCUAACUAGACUGCUUCUACCGUGGGUGACUACUCAAUGUGCAAUAAAGCUUGGCAUGUAGGAGGACCAAAGAA